This 56-nucleotide small RNA is filed under the name Arabidopsis thaliana (thale cress). Its description in RNAcentral is "ATSL265190". The record is from RNAcentral. Lineage: Eukaryota; Viridiplantae; Streptophyta; Magnoliopsida; Brassicales; Brassicaceae.
AAUGACGAGAGUAGUACUAGGAGGUGACCUCCCGGGAAGUCCUCGUGUUGCAUUUA